UACGUAGGGGGCAAGCGUUAUCCGGAUUUACUGGGUGUAAAGGGAGCGUAGACGGCAGAGCAAGUCUGAAGUGAAAGCCCGCGGCCCAACUGCGGGACUGCUUUGGAAACUGCCCGGCUAGAGUGCUGGAGGGGUAAGCGGAAUUCCUAGUGUAGCGGUGAAAUGCGUAGAUAUUAGGAGGAACACCAGUGGCGAAGGCGGCUUACUGGACAGUAACUGACGUUGAGGCUCGAAAGCGUGGGGAGCAAACAGG
This 253-nucleotide ribosomal RNA is filed under the name uncultured bacterium. RNAcentral describes it as "partial 16S ribosomal RNA". It matches the Rfam family "Bacterial small subunit ribosomal RNA", at positions 524 to 776 of the family's 1533-position model. The record is from RNAcentral.